Molecule: ribosomal RNA, 1925 nt
Filed under: seawater metagenome
Description: bacterial LSU rRNA
Rfam family: Bacterial large subunit ribosomal RNA
Source: RNAcentral
CGACGCUCUUCCGAUCUGCACGGUGGAUGCCUAGGCAGUCAGAGGCGAUGAAGGACGUGGUAACCUGCGAAAAGCUUUGGGAAGGUGGUAAACAACCUAUGAUCCAGAGAUAUCCGAAUGGGGAAACCCACCCAGCGUAAGCUGGGUAUCUUAUACUGAAUACAUAGGUAUAAGAGGCGAACCGGGAGAACUGAAACAUCUAAGUACCCCGAGGAAAAGAAAUCAAUUGAGAUUCCCCUAGUAGCGGCGAGCGAACGGGGAUUAGCCCUUAAGUUUAUUAUGUUUUAGCGGAAGUAGCUGGAAAGUUACGCCAUAGUGGGUGAUAGCCCCGUACGCGAAAAGGCAUUUUAGAUGAAAACGAGUAGGUCGGGACACGAGAAAUCUUGACUGAACAUGGGGGGACCAUCCUCCAAGGCUAAAUACUCCUGACUGACCGAUAGUGAACCAGUACCGUGAGGGAAAGGCGAAAAGAACCCCUGUGAGGGGAGUGAAAUAGAUCCUGAAACCGUGUACGUACAAGCAGUGGGAGCGGUCCUUGAGACCGUGACUGCGUACCUUUUGUAUAAUGGGUCAGCGACUUACAUUUUGUAGCGAGGUUAAGCGAAUAGCGGAGCCGUAGGGAAACCGAGUGUUAACUGCGCGUUUAGUUGCAAGGUGUAGACCCGAAACCCGGUGAUCUAUCCAUGGGCAGGUUGAAGAUUGAGUAACAUCAAUUGGAGGACCGAACCGACUUAUGUUGAAAAAUGAGCGGAUGACUUGUGGAUGGGGGUGAAAGGCCAAUCAAACCGGGAGAUAUCUGGUUCUCCUCGAAAGCUAUUUAGGUAGCGCCUCGAGCGAAUACCAUUGGGGGUAGAGCACUGUUAAGGCUAGGGGGUCAUCCCGACUUACCAACCCUUUGCAAACUCCGAAUACCAAUGAGUACUACUCGGGAGACACACGGCGGGUGCUAACGUCCGUCGUGAAAAGGGAAACAACCCAGACCGUCAGCUAAGGUCCCAAAGUUAUUGCUAAGUGGGAAACGAUGUGGGAAGGCUUAGACAGCUAGGAUGUUGGCUUAGAAGCAGCCAUCAUUUAAAGAAAGCGUAAUAGCUCACUAGUCAAGUCGUCCUGCGCGGAAGAUGUAACGGGGCUAAAUUGAUAACCGAAGCUGCGGAUAGAACUUAGGUUCUAUGGUAGAGGAGCGUUCUGUAGGCCAAUGAAGGUGUCUUGAGAAGGAUGCUGGAGGUAUCAGAAGUGCGAAUGCUGACAUGAGUAGCGUUAAAGCGGGUGAAAAGCCCGCUCGCCGAAAGUCCAAGGUUUCCUACGCAACGUUAAUCGGCGUAGGGUGAGUCGGCCCCUAAGGUGAGGCAGAGAUGCGUAGCCGAUGGGAAACAGGUUAAUAUUCCUGUACCGAUGUAUAGUGCGAUGUGGGGACGGAGAAGGUUAGGUUAGCCAACUGUUGGAAAUGUUGGUUUAAGCGUGAAGGUGUGUAUCUUAGGCAAAUCCGGGAUACUAUAACACUGAGGCGUGAUGACGAGGUGCUACGGCACUGAAGUAAUUGAUACCAUGCUUCCAGGAAAAGCCACUAAGCUUCAGCUAUAUAUUGACCGUACCGCAAACCGACACUGGUGGACGAGAUGAGUAUUCUAAGGCGCUUGAGAGAACUCUGGAGAAGGAACUCGGCAAAUUGACACCGUAACUUCGGAAGAAGGUGUGCCUUUAGUAGGUGAAGUCCCUCGCGGAUGGAGCCCAAUGAGGUUGCAAAAAAUCGGUGGCUGCGACUGUUUAUUAAAAACACAGCACUCUGCAAACACGAAAGUGGACGUAUAGGGUGUGACGCCUGCCCGGUGCUGGAAGAUUAAAUGAUGGGGUGCAAGCUCUUGAUUGAAGUCCCAGUAAACGGCGGCCGUAACUAUAACGGUCCUAAGGUAGCGAAAUUCCUUGUC